UACGAAGGGGGCUAGCGUUGCUCGGAAUCACUGGGCGUAAAGGGUGCGUAGGCGGGUUUUUAAGUCAUGGGUGAAAUCCUGGAGCUCAACUCCAGAACUGCCUUUGAUACUGAAGAUCUUGAGUUCGGGAGAGGUGAGUGGAACUGCGAGUGUAGAGGUGAAAUUCGUAGAUAUUCGCAAGAACACCAGUGGCGAAGGCGGCUCACUGGCCCGAUACUGACGCUGAGGCACGAAAGCGUGGGGAGCAAACAGG
RNAcentral lists this ribosomal RNA (253 nucleotides) under uncultured bacterium. Its description in RNAcentral is "partial 16S ribosomal RNA". It matches the Rfam family "Bacterial small subunit ribosomal RNA", at positions 524 to 776 of the family's 1533-position model. The record is from RNAcentral.